RNAcentral lists this ribosomal RNA (655 nucleotides) under bacterium HN32-32. RNAcentral's name for it is "bacterial SSU rRNA". It matches the Rfam family "Bacterial small subunit ribosomal RNA", at positions 338 to 974 of the family's 1533-position model. The record is from RNAcentral.
CCUACGGGAGGCAGCAGUAGGGAAUCUUACCGCCAAUUCCGGAGCGAAAGUCCAAUGAUCGGAGCAACGCCGCGUGAGUGAUGAAGGUUUUCGGAUCGUAAAGCUCUGUUGUUAGGGAAGAACAAGUGCGAGAGUAACUGCUCGCACCUUGACGGUACCUAACCAGAAAGCCACGGCUAACUACGUGCCAGCAGCCGCGGUAAUACGUAGGUGGCAAGCGUUGUCCGGAAUUAUUGGGCGUAAAGGGCUCGCAGGCGGUUUCUUAAGUCUGAUGUGAAAGCCCCCGGCUCAACCGGGGAGGGUCAUUGGAAACUGGGAAACUUGAGUGCAGAAGAGGAGAGUGGAAUUCCACGUGUAGCGGUGAAAUGCGUAGAGAUGUGGAGGAACACCAGUGGCGAAGGCGACUCUCUGGUCUGUAACUGACGCUGAGGAGCGAAAGCGUGGGGAGCGAACAGGAUUAGAUACCCUGGUAGUCCACGCCGUAAACGAUGAGUGCUAAGUGUUAGGGGGUUUCCGCCCCUUAGUGCUGCAGCUAACGCAUUAAGCACUCCGCCUGGGGAGUACGGUCGCAAGACUGAAACUCAAAGGAAUUGACGGGGGCCCGCACAAGCGGUGGAGCAUGUGGUUUAAUUCGAAGCAACGCGAAGAACCUUAC